GGCUCUUCUCCACAGAGGCGGUGUGUUUGUCGCACAUGGCGCUGAUCUCCAUGCCGCGCUCCCUCUCCUUAUCGCCCUGGCGAAAAAACUCCUCCAUGAUCCUCUCUGUCCACUGCCGGUACAAAGAGCACCAUCUUAAAUGAACUUUGGAACUCCUUCUGUUAUAUGUCAUUUGAAUCUCUUAUAUGUGGGACUCACUGGUGUUGAUGAGGAACUGAUUAGAAACUCCAGGAUGAUCAACAUCAUGAAUGGCGGCGGCAAAGAGGGCAGCAAGGAUCUCCAGGUCAGUGAAGACAGCCUGAGGGGAAAGACCCAAAUAAGGAACAUUGAAAAUUUUUUUGAAGUAGGGUUUCCACUCAUGUUCCACUUCAUUUUUUUUCUCAUGUGACAUACGUCGAGGGCCGGAGUGGAGAGGAGCACGUGUGUGGACUGGGUGACAUCGGCAGCGUGGAGGCUGUUGUGGUACGCUACGUUGCCGUGGUAAUGGUCUUCCAGUGUCAUCACAGACACUUGGGCAGGGCGGAAGUAGUGAAUUGGCGAUGGAGAAUGACAUCAAGUUCUCAGUCGAGUAGACCAUAUUUAAAUUUUCGCCAGACCUUGGCGAG
Molecule: long non-coding RNA, 605 nt
Organism: Syngnathus acus (greater pipefish)
Lineage: Eukaryota; Metazoa; Chordata; Actinopteri; Syngnathiformes; Syngnathidae
Exons: 3
Source: RefSeq, a predicted model, not a curated record